Molecule: ribosomal RNA, 1527 nt
Filed under: metagenome
Description: bacterial SSU rRNA
Rfam family: Bacterial small subunit ribosomal RNA
Source: RNAcentral
AGAGUUUGAUCAUGGCUCAGAACGAACGCUGGCGGCGUGGCUAAAACAUGCAAGUCGCACGGAAAGGUCUCUCUAGUUUACUAGAAGGACACUCGAGUGGCGAAAGGGCGAGGAAUACAUGGGUAACGUACCCCGGACAUGAGGAUAGCUGUGGGAAACUGCAGGUAAUACUCAAUGAGACCCCGGUGUCAUAUGGCACAGAGGUCAAAGGGUGGGGAUUCCGACUUGUCGGAACCUACUGGUCUGGGCGCGGCCCAUGUCCUAUCAGCUUGUUGGUGAGGUAACGGCUCACCAAGGCAACGACGGGUACCGGGACUGAGAGGUUGACCCGGCGCAUCGGGACUGAGACACUGCCCGGACUCCUACGGGAGGCUGCAGUAACGAAUAUUCCGCAAUGGGCGCAAGCCUGACGGAGCGACGCCGCGUGCAGGAUGAAGCCUUUCGGGGUGUAAACUGCUGUCAGGGACUACCAAGCAAAAAGGGCCAAUACCCCUUGGCGUUGAGGAAUCCCAAAGGAAGCCACGGCUAACUUCGUGCCAGCAGCCGCGGUAAGACGAAGGUGGCAAGCGCUGUUCGGAAUCACUGGGCUUAAAGCGCAUGUAGGCGGUCUGUCAAGCGUCUUGUGAAAGCCCUCGGCUCAACCGAGGAAUUGCUUGGCGAACUGACGGACUUGAGGCAGGUAGAGGCGCGCGGAACUCUUGGUGGAGCGGUGGAAUGCGUAGAUAUCAAGAGGAACGCCGGUGGCGAAAGCGGCGCGCUGGGCCUGUCCUGACGCUGAGAUGCGAAAGCUAGGGUAGCGAACGGGAUUAGAUACCCCGGUAGUCCUAGCCCUAAACGAUGUCCACUAGAUCGAAGGCGCUCUGACGCGGUUUCGGUCGAAACAAAAGCGAUAAGUGGACCGCCUGGGGAGUACGGUCGCAAGGCUAAAACUCAAAGGAAUUGACGGGGGCUCACACAAGCGGUGGAGCAUGUUGCUUAAUUCGAUGCAACGCGAAGAACCUUAUCCUGGGCUUGACAUGCUUGGAUGCCCAUCUGGAAACAGAGUAGGCUGCUCUUCGGAGUGAAACUUGCACAGGUGCUGCAUGGCUGUCGUCAGCUCGUGUCGUGAGAUGUUGGGUUAAGUCCCGUAACGAGCGAAACCCUUGUCGCUAGUUGCCAGCGCGUUAUGGCGGGGACUCUAGCGAGACUGCCGGUGUUAAACCGGAGGAAGGUGGGGAUGACGUCAAGUCCUCAUGGCCUUUAUGCCCAGGGCUGCAAACGUGCUACAAUGGCGUGUACAAACCGACGCGAUACCGCGAGGUGGAGCAAAUCGGAGAAAACACGCCCCAGUUCGGAUUGGAGUCUGCAACUCGACUCCAUGAAGUUGGAAUCGCUAGUAAUCGCGUAUCAGCUACGACGCGGUGAAUGUGUUCCUGAGCCUUGUACACACCGCCCGUCAAGUCAUGGAAGCCGGGAGUACCCGAAGUCGCCUCAAUUCAGAGGUGCCGAAGGUAAGUUCGGUGACUGGGACUAAGUCGUAACAAGGUA